GCCCGCAUAGCUCCAACGGUAGAGCAGCGAUUUUGUAAGUCGAUGGUUGGGGGUUCGAAUCCCUCUGCGGGCA
Molecule: transfer RNA, 73 nt
Filed under: Agrococcus casei
Lineage: Bacteria; Bacillati; Actinomycetota; Actinomycetes; Micrococcales; Microbacteriaceae
Also listed under: 1 other name
Description: tRNA-Thr
Rfam family: tRNA
About the family: Transfer RNA (tRNA) molecules are approximately 80 nucleotides in length. Their secondary structure includes four short double-helical elements and three loops (D, anti-codon, and T loops).
Source: RNAcentral